CGUCACACUAUCAUUAACUGAAUCCAUAGGUUAAUGAGGCGAACCGGGGGAACUGAAACAUCUAAGUACCCCGAGGAAAAGAAAUCAACCGAGAUUCCCCCAGUAGCGGCGAGCGAACGGGGAGGAGCCCAGAGCCUGAAUCAGCAUGUGUGUUAGUGGAAGCGUCUGGAAAGGCGCGCGAUACAGGGUGACAGCCCCGUACACAAAAGCGCAUGUGCUGUGAGCUCGAUGAGUAGGGCGGGACACGUGGUAUCCUGUCUGAAUAUGGGGGGACCAUCCUCCAAGGCUAAAUACUCCUGACUGACCGAUAGUGAACCAGUACCGUGAGGGAAAGGCGAAAAGAACCCCGGCGAGGGGAGUGAAAAAGAACCUGAAACCGUGUACGUACAAGCAGUGGGAGCACAGGUUUACCUGUGUGACUGCGUACCUUUUGUAUAAUGGGUCAGCGACUUAUAUUCUGUAGCAAGGUUAACCGAAUAGGGGAGCCGGAGGGAAACCGAGUCUUAAUUGGGCGUUAAGUUGCAGGGUAUAGACCCGAAACCCGGUGAUCUAGCCAUGGGCAGGUUGAAGGUUGGGUAACACUAACUGGAGGACCGAACCGACUAAUGUUGAAAAAUUAGCGGAUGACCUGUGGCUGGGGGUGAAAGGCCAAUCAAACCGGGAGAUAGCUGGUUCUCCCCGAAAGCUAUUUAGGUAGCGCCUCGUGAAUUCAUCUCCGGGGGUAGAGCACUGUUUCGGCUAGGGGGCCAUCCCGGCUUACCAACCCGAUGCAAACUGCGAAUACCGGAGAAUGUUAUCACGGGAGACACACGGCGGGUGCUAACGUCCGUCGUGAAGAGGGAAACAACCCAGACCGCCAGCUAAGGUCCCAAAGUCAUGGUUAAGUGGGAAACGAUGUGGGAAGGCCCAGACAGCCAGGAUGUUGGCUUAGAAGCAGCCAUCAUUUAAAGAAAGCGUAAUAGCUCACUGGUCGAGUCGGCCUGCGCGGAAGAUGUAACGGGGCUAAACCAUGCACCGAAGCUGCGGCAGCGACACUGUGUGUUGUUGGGUAGGGGAGCGUUCUGUAAGCCUGUGAAGGUGUGUCGUGAGGC
RNAcentral lists this ribosomal RNA (1091 nucleotides) under Salmonella enterica subsp. enterica serovar Enteritidis. Its description in RNAcentral is "partial 23S ribosomal RNA". It matches the Rfam family "Bacterial large subunit ribosomal RNA", at positions 141 to 1269 of the family's 2925-position model. The record is from RNAcentral. Lineage: Bacteria; Pseudomonadati; Pseudomonadota; Gammaproteobacteria; Enterobacterales; Enterobacteriaceae.